This 26-nucleotide non-coding RNA is filed under the name Callithrix jacchus (white-tufted-ear marmoset). RNAcentral also lists the same sequence under 2 other names. Lineage: Eukaryota; Metazoa; Chordata; Mammalia; Primates; Cebidae. The record is from RNAcentral.
UGGUGCGAGAAAUUGCUCAGGACUUU